UACGUAGGGCGCAAGCGUUAUCCGGAAUUAUUGGGCGUAAAGAGCUCGUAGGCGGUUUGUCGUGUCUGCCGUGAAAGUCCGGGGCUCAACUCCGGAUCUGCGGUGGGUACGGGCAGACUAGAGUGAUGUAGGGGAGACUGGAAUUCCUGGUGUAGCGGUGAAAUGCGCAGAUAUCAGGAGGAACACCGAUGGCGAAGGCAGGUCUCUGGGCAUUAACUGACGCUGAGGAGCGAAAGCAUGGGGAGCGAACAGG
This 253-nucleotide ribosomal RNA is filed under the name uncultured bacterium. RNAcentral's name for it is "partial 16S ribosomal RNA". It matches the Rfam family "Bacterial small subunit ribosomal RNA", at positions 524 to 776 of the family's 1533-position model. The record is from RNAcentral.